Molecule: ribosomal RNA, 570 nt
Filed under: uncultured bacterium
Lineage: Bacteria
Description: bacterial SSU rRNA
Rfam family: Bacterial small subunit ribosomal RNA
Source: RNAcentral
AGUCGACGAACUUCUUUAUCACCGAGUGCUUGCACUCACCGAUAAAGAGUUGAGUGGCGAACGGGUGAGUAACACGUGGGCAACCUGCCCAAAAGAGGGGGAUAACACUUGGAAACUGGUGCUAAUACCGCAUAACCAUAGUUACCGCAUGGUAACUAUGUAAAAGGUGGCUAUGCUACCGCUUUUGGAUGGGCCCGCGACGCAUUAGCUAGUUGGUGGGGUAAAGGCUUACCAAGGCAAUGAUGCGUAGCCGAACUGAGAGGUUGAUCGGCCACAUUGGGACUGAGACACGGCCCAAACUCCUACGGGAGGCAGCAGUAGGGAAUCUUCCACAAUGGGCGAAAGCCUGAUGGAGCAACGCCGCGUGGGUGAAGAAGGUCUUCGGAUCGUAAAACCCUGUUGUUAGAGAAGAAAGUGCGUGAGAGUAACUGUUCACGUUUCGACGGUAUCUAACCAGAAAGCUACGGCUAACUACGUGCCAGCAGCCGCGGUAAUACGUAGGUGGCAAGCGUUAUCCGGAUUUAUUGGGCGUAAAGAGAACGCAGGCGAUCUUUUAAGUCUGAUGUGAAA